CCUACGGUGUGCAGCAGUCGGGAAUAUUGCGCAAUGGAGGAAACUCUGACGCAGUGACGCCGCGUGCAGGAAGAAGGUUUUCGGAUUGUAAACUGCUUUAGACAGGGAAGAAAAAAGACAGUACCUGUAGAAUAAGCUCCGACUAACUACGUGCCAGCAGCCGCGGUAAUACGUAGGGAGCAAGCGUUAUCCGGGUUUAUUGGGUGUAAAGGGUGCGUAGACGGAGAAGCAAGUUAGUUGUGAAAUCCCUCGGCUUAACUGAGGAACUGCAACUAAAACUACUUCCCUUGAGUACUGGAGAGGAAAGUGGAAUUCCUGGUGUAGCGGUGAAAUGCGUAGAUAUUAGGAGGAACACCAGUGGCGAAGGCGGCCUACUGGACGGUGACUGACGCUGAGGCUCGAAAGCGUGGGGAGCAAACAGGAUUAGAUACCCCUGUAGUC
This 441-nucleotide ribosomal RNA is filed under the name uncultured bacterium. RNAcentral's name for it is "partial 16S ribosomal RNA". It matches the Rfam family "Bacterial small subunit ribosomal RNA", at positions 338 to 795 of the family's 1533-position model. The record is from RNAcentral.